AUACUUACCUGGCACAGAGGUUAACCAUGAUCAUCAAGGUGCUUCUCCCAAAGGGAGGCUCUUCCAUUGCUCCUUAGAUAGGUUGACCUUUGCGACUGCCUCAAAUGUGGGUGACUUGGAUGCACUAUUUCUAAGUGUGAUGUCCAUGUCCAUGCUAACACU
This is a small nuclear RNA of Octopus sinensis (East Asian common octopus), 162 nucleotides long. RefSeq annotates it as U1 spliceosomal RNA. The record is from RefSeq and is a predicted model, not a curated record. Lineage: Eukaryota; Metazoa; Mollusca; Cephalopoda; Octopoda; Octopodidae. The transcript has a single exon.